This 492-nucleotide ribosomal RNA is filed under the name uncultured bacterium. Its description in RNAcentral is "partial 16S ribosomal RNA". It matches the Rfam family "Bacterial small subunit ribosomal RNA", at positions 29 to 507 of the family's 1533-position model. The record is from RNAcentral.
AGUGAACGCUGGCGGUAGGCCUAACACAUGCAAGUCGAACGGCAGCACAGUAAGAGCUUGCUCUUACGGGUGGCGAGUGGCGGACGGGUGAGGAAUACAUCGGAAUCUACUUUUUCGUGGGGGAUAACGUAGGGAAACUUACGCUAAUACCGCAUACGACCUACGGGUGAAAGCAGGGGAUCUUCGGACCUUGCGCGAUUGAAUGAGCCGAUGUCGGAUUAGCUAGUUGGCGGGGUAAAGGCCCACCAAGGCGACGAUCCGUAGCUGGUCUGAGAGGAUGAUCAGCCACACUGGAACGGGGACACGGUCCAGACCCCUAGGGGAGGCAGCAGUGGGGAAUAUUGGACAAGGGGCGCAAGCCUGAUCCAGCCAUACCGCGUGGGGGAAGAAGGCCUUCGGGUUGUAAAGCCCUUUUGUUGGGAAAGAAAAGCAGCAGGUUAAUACCCCGCUGUUCUGACGGUACCCAAAGAAUAAGCACCGGCUAACUUCGUG